RNAcentral lists this ribosomal RNA (368 nucleotides) under uncultured Pelotomaculum sp. RNAcentral describes it as "bacterial SSU rRNA". It matches the Rfam family "Bacterial small subunit ribosomal RNA", at positions 1014 to 1382 of the family's 1533-position model. Lineage: Bacteria; Bacillati; Bacillota; Clostridia; Eubacteriales; Desulfotomaculaceae. The record is from RNAcentral.
UACUCUCGGGUGACAGGGAGACAGGUGGUGCAUGGUUGUCGUCAGCUCGUGUCGUGAGAUGUUGGGUUAAGUCCCGCAACGAGCGCAACCCCUACGUUUAGUUGCUAACGCGUGAAGGCGAGCACUCUAGACGAACUGCCGUUGACAAAACGGAGGAAGGUGGGAUGACGUCAAAUCAUCAUGCCCCUUAUGUUCUGGGCUACACACGUGCUACAAUGGCCGGUACAGACGGACGCAAAGCCGCGAGGUGGAGCAAAUCCUAAAAAGCCGGUCUCAGUUCGGAUUGCAGGCUGCAAUUCGUCUGCAUGAAGUCGGAAUCGCUAGUAAUCGCAGGUCAGCAUACUGCGGUGAAUACGUUCCCGGGCCUU